This 404-nucleotide ribosomal RNA is filed under the name uncultured microorganism. RNAcentral's name for it is "bacterial SSU rRNA". It matches the Rfam family "Bacterial small subunit ribosomal RNA", at positions 9 to 417 of the family's 1533-position model. The record is from RNAcentral.
GAGUUUGAUCUUGGCUCAGAUUGAACGCUGGCGGCAUGCCUUACACAUGCAAGUCGAACGGUAACAGGUCUUCGGAUGCUGACGAGUGGCGAACGGGUGAGUAAUACAUCGGAACGUGCCCGAUCGUGGGGGGAUAACGGAGCGAAAGCUUUGCUAAUACCGCAUACGAUCUACGGAUGAAAGCAGGGACCGCAAGGCCUUGCGCGGACGGAGCGGCCGAUGGCAGAUUAGGUAGUUGGUGGGAUAAAAGCUUACCAAGCCGACGAUCUGUAGCUGGUCUGAGAGGACGACCAGCCACACUGGGACUGAGACACGGCCCAGACUCCUACGGGAGGCAGCAGUGGGGAAUUUUGGACAAUGGGCGAAAGCCUGAUCCAGCCAUGCCGCGUGCAGGAUGAAGGCCU